RNAcentral lists this long non-coding RNA (750 nucleotides) under Coffea arabica (coffee). RNAcentral describes it as "long non-coding RNA (CARA_LNC004891)". The record is from RNAcentral. Lineage: Eukaryota; Viridiplantae; Streptophyta; Magnoliopsida; Gentianales; Rubiaceae.
AAAAAAGAUUGCAACGAAGAGGGCUAGAGAUUACAGCAAUUAAACAAACGACGGGACAGGUUCAAUUUCUGUACAGAGCGAGAACUAGUCAAGAGCCAAUUAAAUAACAUGAGUGGCCAUUUAUGUAUACGGUUCAAAGAUCAGGAGAAACGACAAGGACCUUAGAUUGUAACUUCCACGUCGUAGUUGUGUGAACGAGAAGCAUCUCUUCCCAGGCUGAGGCCACCCCACAACAAUGAGCCACUGACAAUCAAUACCCUUCGGUCCUCAGUUGACAUGUACUACAAUAACAUAGCCUUCGCUGCCUGCAAACCAAGAAAUGUCGAGCAACAACGCAUAGUCAGAGAAACUUCGAUCAAUUUCUUCCUCUCUACUUGCACAUUUGCCUUUCAUUUAACAUGGAAGUAGUACUGAUUUUUGCCAUGCCAUGGGGAACAUUCUGCAGUUUGUCGUCCUUUUAAAACUAGCUGUUAAAAAUAAGUGUUAUAAUCAACACGAGUAGUAAGAUAUUCAUUUUCCAGAACUUCUCAUCUCUAUACUACACAAGUCAUCUUCAACCAAAUUUCAGGCGAUACGCGGUAAUUUAGAUAGCAAUUGUUCCAAUAUGCACAGAAUAAAAACUACUUUCCUUCAGAUUUUCAGAUUGAUUAAAAUAACACAUUAGUGCCUCCUGUUUUGCAGUCUUAGCAUCAAGUUACACCACCUUUUCUAGUUAGUAGAGAAGCUGGGGUCAAAGGUUACAAAUCCAUG